RNAcentral lists this ribosomal RNA (446 nucleotides) under uncultured prokaryote. Its description in RNAcentral is "bacterial SSU rRNA". It matches the Rfam family "Bacterial small subunit ribosomal RNA", at positions 355 to 796 of the family's 1533-position model. The record is from RNAcentral.
UCGAGAAUCUUCCGCAAUGGACGAAAGUCUGACGGAGCGACGCCGCGUGCGGGAUGAAGGCCCUCGGGUUGUAAACCGCUGUCAGUUGGGAGGAAAUGCAUAAGGGUUCUCUCUUAUGUUUGACCGAUCUUCAGAGGAAGUCCGGGCUAAGUUCGUGCCAGCAGCCGCGGUAAGACGAACCGGACAAACGUUAUUCGGAAUCACUGGGCUUAAAGAGUACGUAGGCGGCCUUGUAGGUUGGGUGUGAAAUCCCACAGCUCAACUGUGGAACUGCGCUCAAAACCACAAGGCUUGAGGGAGACAGGGGUAAGCGGAACUGAUGGUGGAGCGGUGAAAUGCGUUGAUAUCAUCAGGAACACCGGUGGCGAAGGCGGCUUACUGGGUCUCUUCUGACGCUGAGGUACGAAAGCUAGGGUAGCGAACGGGAUUAGAUACCCCCGUAGUCC